UCGGAUAGAGAGACCGGCGCACGGGAGCGUAACGCGUAUGCAAUCUACCUUUUACAGAGGGAUAGCCCAGAGAAAUUUGGAUUAAUACCUCAUAGUAUAUAGACUCGGCAUCAAGAUUAUAUUAAAGUCACAACGGUAAAAGAUGAGCAUGCGUCCCAUUAGCUAGUUGGUAAGGUAACGGCUUACCAAGGCUACGAUGGGUAGGGGUCCUGAGAGGGAGAUCCCCCACACUGGUACUGAGACACGGACCAGACUCCUACGGGAGGCAGCAGUGAGGAAUAUUGGACAAUGGGCGCAAGCCUGAUCCAGCCAUGCCGCGUGCAGGAUGACGGUCCUAUGGAUUGUAAACUGCUUUUAUACGAGAAGAAACACUGCUACGUGUAGCAGCUUGACGGUAUCGUAAGAAUAAGGAUCGGCUAACUCCGUGCCAGCAGCCGCGGUAAUACGGAGGAUCCAAGCGUUAUCCGGAAUCAUUGGGUUUAAAGGGUCCGUAUGCGGUUUAAUAAGUCAGUGGUGAAAGCCCAUCGCUCAACGGUGGAACGGCCAUUGAUACUGUUAGACUUGAAUUA
This 569-nucleotide ribosomal RNA is filed under the name Flavobacterium sp. FlavoEI_CoT2r3AB2_D01_04. Its description in RNAcentral is "bacterial SSU rRNA". It matches the Rfam family "Bacterial small subunit ribosomal RNA", at positions 82 to 649 of the family's 1533-position model. Lineage: Bacteria; Pseudomonadati; Bacteroidota; Flavobacteriia; Flavobacteriales; Flavobacteriaceae. The record is from RNAcentral.